GGCGCGAUGGCAGAGUGGUCUAAUGCGAUAGACUAGAAAUCUAUUCUCUUCGGAGGCGCAGGUUCAAAUCCUGCUCGCGUCG
Non-coding RNA from Microdochium trichocladiopsis, 82 nucleotides. The record is from the annotation of a RefSeq genome assembly. NCBI's taxonomy places the organism in Eukaryota, Fungi, Ascomycota, Sordariomycetes, Xylariales, Microdochiaceae.